This 253-nucleotide ribosomal RNA is filed under the name uncultured bacterium. Its description in RNAcentral is "partial 16S ribosomal RNA". It matches the Rfam family "Bacterial small subunit ribosomal RNA", at positions 524 to 776 of the family's 1533-position model. The record is from RNAcentral.
UACGAAGGGGGCUAGCGUUGUUCGGAAUUACUGGGCGUAAAGCGCGCGCAGGCGGUCUUCCAAGUCAGUGGUGAAAGCCCGGAGCUCAACUCCGGAACUGCCAUUGAAACUGUAAGACUUGAGGACGAGAGAGGUGAGUGGAAUUCCCAGUGUAGAGGUGAAAUUCGUAGAUAUUGGGAAGAACACCAGUGGCGAAGGCGGCUCACUGGCCCGAUACUGACGCUGAGGCACGAAAGCGUGGGGAGCAAACAGG